CCCUUAGAUGUUCUGGGCCGCACGCGCGCUACACUGAUGCAUUCAACGAGUCCAACCUUGACCGAGAGGUCCGGGUAAUCUUUGAAACUGCAUCGUGAUGGGGCUAGAUUAUUGCAAUUAUUAAUCUUCAACGAGGAAUGCCUAGUAAGCGUGAUUCAUCAAAUCGCGUUGAUUACGUCCCUGCCCUUUGUACACACCGCCCGUCGCUCCUACCGAUUGAGUGUGUUGGUGAAUGAUUCGGACCAGCGUGCUGCUCAGAUCCUGCGCAGUGUGCUGGGAAGUCUAGUGAACCUUAUCACUUAGAGGAAGGAGAAGUCGUAACA
Molecule: ribosomal RNA, 323 nt
Filed under: uncultured eukaryote
Lineage: Eukaryota
Description: partial 18S ribosomal RNA
Rfam family: Eukaryotic small subunit ribosomal RNA
Source: RNAcentral